RNAcentral lists this long non-coding RNA (2213 nucleotides) under Macaca nemestrina (pig-tailed macaque). RNAcentral's name for it is "lncRNA (ENSMNEG00000045941.1)". The record is from RNAcentral. Lineage: Eukaryota; Metazoa; Chordata; Mammalia; Primates; Cercopithecidae.
AUGAAUCAUAAAUGAACACUUGGAAAAAGGUUCAAUGUUGGCAUUUUAUCAAAAUAGGUUAAUAAUUUCUUAUUCCUUUCUCAUAAAAAACUGGAUAAAUAGAAAUUUUAAUCUUCAUAAAAAUGGAAAUUCCAAUGCAGAUCAAGUAUUUGGUUGUUUGGUUUGUUGAAAGCUUGACUUUGUUCGCUUCAUUUAGACAGACUAUAAGAUAAAAAAACUUUAACACUAGAAACAAAAUUUGGCAUUAGAAUCACAGAGAACAGGAUUUUGAAAUGCCUCUGUAAGUUUAUAGAUGUUCCUAAAGUUCCAUGUUUAAUAUUUUGAAUAAAAUAGGUGGCCAUGCUCAGGAUCUAGGAAGUUAAUAGUAGCCUCUUUCUUUUUCAGAUACGUGUUGACCAGUGGUCAUGCCACUGCCUAUCUAUUUGUUGAAAAUAUUGUUUACACAGUGAUUAGCAGAUUUCUCCAUUCUUCAAAUGACCAUUUCACAUCUACCUGCAAAGGAGAGCAACACUCAGAAUGGUGGUGUUUCUCAAAUCAUCCAAGUAUGUUCUUGUUACUGAUUUUCAGAAAGCUGGUUUUGAGACUACAGCUUGGAUUAAAGCCAAGCACAUCUGCAAAAAAGACAUUGCUGGAGGAGGUGCAAGAGCUGGAAACCAAGUUUCCUGUCCUGGGAAAAGCAGUGGUGUGGAAGAGCAGUGGAAAGAGGUAGGGAACUUCAUCCCAAUACCUACAGAAAACAAAUUCUCCCGGUCCCUUUCUCUGUUUUUCUAUUUAUACAUUUUUUUUCGCAUAUUGGUUUUCUAUAGAAGCACAACAUGCUCAGUUUUAAGCAUUUUUGGUUAUACUCAAAUUUAAGUUGCACUCUUUCAGUGGCCACAUGAAAUCUGACUUUCUGGGUCACUGGGUCUGUCUCUAGGUAAGAAUGGGGGUUUUAUUGGGUUUAGAGGUGAGCAAAACUAUCCAUGUGCCAAAAAAUUGAUGUCAUAGCAUUAUUAUCUUAAGGUGGAAAAGUGUAGGUUUAGCAAUAUUGUUGGGGAAACCAGCCCCACACCACCCAGCCCCACACCACCCAGUGGGUACCCCCAGUUUGGCGGAGACCAAGGAGUUAGAGACAGAAUAAGCAUUUAAAAGGUGGGUCCAGGGGACCGUAGCAUCAGAGGCUUGCUCACUGCCCAAAGCUCUCGGGCUCCACCCAAUUUAUUGCUUUACAAGAUCUUUGUUCUUAGGGCAGAUGGGAGGGGUUGGAAGGGAUGAGGAAAAGGAUUAAUCAGUGAAGGAGAACUCAAUAAGAUGCAUAGCAGAGGCGGUUUCUGUGAAUUUCCUUGAGCAAAGGCAUGUGUCUAAACUACUUAAGAUCUUUGACUUAUCGGGACUGAAAUGGGUGGGAGUGGGUUUCAGGAGGAGCCAAGAUGUUUGAUUGUACUCCACUGCCUUCCACUGCCUCAAGGGAGUGUUACCUCCCUGAGCAACCUGUGGAAUGUCGCUGAGUGGUUAUGCUCUCGGGGCAUAAAGACAUGAAGGAAAUAAGGAGACUUUUCUCCUGAGAGGCCGCCCAUGGCUCCCCAUGGGUAUCUCACACAGGGGAGACCAACUCAUCUGACAGCCCAGAAACUCUCUUUCCCACAAGUCUUCCACAGAGGAGUUAAAUCCAAGCCUUUGAAUUUCAAACUCAAUUAUUGUAUCCAAGGAUGAGUAUCACACAUGAAGGUUUGCAUGUGAAAUAAUUCAUGUUAUUAUUCAUUUAAAUCUUGUUAAUCCCACUUCAGCAUAUCUAGGUGAGGGAGUUGUUUUUAAUUAACUAAUAUUACUGCUGGGGUUGAGAAGGAUCGUGUGAACUUUGGAACAAUAUUGCUUCUUGCAUUCCUAAUUGCUUAUGAACAUCAGCCUGCCUACCUUCCCUGCACGUAACAGCUAGGCCUGUGCAUAAUUUUUGUUUCAUCACAUAUGUUAAGACUGUCUUAGAGUGUACUCUGUUAAUAUUUCUAUACCACCAAGAAAAAUUUUCCUGGCCUUGAGAAAAAUUUUCAGAGUACUAAAAAGCCAUUGCUGUAUUAAGGAUAUGGAAUGUCUAGAAUAUUUUGAAUAUCAUUCUAUAAAUGCUUAGAAGGAAAUCUGUAAGUAACUUCUAAUGAAACACAUAUCUAGAAUUAAAAUAUUUAUAGAGAUUUCCACUUUGUGUAGGGUUUUAUAUUUUAUUUCUACCACAUUUUAAA